GUGCAGGGAGUAGCUUAGCUCGACGACGUUGCAGAUUUCUAUUUUGGGCAUGGAGAUUCAUCUCCCUCUUCCCUGUUUCAUGAUGCUGCUCUAAGUAUGUGUGAGGUUUGAGCUUCGAUUCCCUUUCCUUCUUAAUGCCAGAUUCUUCUUCUCCUCUUUGGACUUGCCAUUGCUGGUUUGAUUGGGGGGGUUGUUGGUUCUUUCUCCCCUCUUCGGUUGCAUUGGUAGCACCGAAAUCCUCCUCUAUCCUCUUUGUUGACAUCAUUCGUGGCUGGAAUGUGGAGCUCAUUCUCCUUUCUUCUUCCGUGGUUAUCUUGUGUGAAGUCUUGAUCCAGAAACUUUGUCCUCCAUUGUUCCAUCCGUUCUCCCUCCAUCAUUCACACUCCUUGCUGUCGCUGGUGACCGUGGGUGUGCCAGAAUCCUCCUCUCCUCUCAUAUUUCCUCCCCUGUUUUUCCUCUGAUUUGUGCAACAGCCUCUUUGUCUUGGUUCAACGUUGCCAUCGCACUCGUGUUAGUGAUCGUGGGUGCGUUGAUUUCUUCCUCCAUUUUCAGUCAGCCAGCUUUUCUCCAUGCUUCUGGCAACGUGAAUCUGAGGUGAGGAUGUUCAAGUUCUUCUCCUCGUUGCUGAUUCUGUGAGUGUGUGUUUUGGUAGUUGUGGCUGUGAUUCUCUUCCUUUCUUGAUGCUACCACUUAUGAAUGUGUACAGAGGAUUUGAGCAAACUAAAAUUAAGGCUUAAGAGAACGUUUCCAUUAAAUAAUUUAGGUAUGAUUGUUUUAGAUUGCUGUUGACAGAGAUGAACAUGGAUUCAGUUCUUCUUUAUGAGGCUGAGAAAUCUUGGUUAAUUGAAGUAUUAAUAAGGGAAAUUGCUGGGAAAAAGUUUUUUUUAAAAAAAAGAAGAAGAAGAAGCAGCUUGAUGAUAUAGUGCGAAUGUUGAUGCUCACAUGGUGUUUGUUUUAAAUGUGUGGAAGAGUUGGAAUGGAGUAGUUAAAUAUGUUCUAUGUAUUAAAGACCAGAAUUUAAAUUUAAUAUUAUGAUUGGCUCUUAUGCUAAAUCAUAUUUUUCUAUGAAAUUGAAUUUUGGAAAAACAUACAAAGAACAUGUUGAUGCUUGAGAGUUGUAUUGUUGGCAAUGUAUAAAUUAUGGUACUUGUGUGACUCGAUUUUGGAAAGAGUGUAAGGCGUUUGAUGAAACAUGGGAGAGGGAAAUUUUUUAUUCAAUUGAUUACCUAAGUGUGGGCGAUGAAGUUUUUAUGUUGCAACUUAGGAUUAAGAAGCUUGCUUAUAUAUAGUUAUUGGAAAGUGAUAUAGGAUCUAUGAAGUUCAUUCAAUUUAUUUAUUUAUUUUUGACCUGUAGCUUAUUUUAUUCAUUUAAAACUUCAAAUAUGUUAAAUAAAAUGCUAUGGCUUCAAGUUAUGAUGUUGUGCAAAGGGCACAUAUGUAAAUAAAAGAGUUUAGUAAUGGUAUUGUUUAGUUAAAGUGUGUGUUAGUGAAUUAUUAUAAAUUUGUGGGUUAGAAAGAAAUGUGGAGGAAAUGAAUGUAUUUGGAUAUAAAACUAAGAGAUUAAUGUUCAAAAGCAAGGGGAAAAACACUACAAUAAUUAAGUUCGUGAGCUAUUAUGAGUUUGACAAAAUUUUAGGGGUUCAAUUAUCAUUAUAUUGAAAUGUUUUAGGAAUAAACCUUGUUGUGAAGAGCGUUAAGAUUAAAUUACAUUGUUGGGACUUGGGAUUGCCUUACGUAAGUGGAUAACAUCCCAACUAGCUCAUUUACACUUUUCUUUUUCUAAACAUUGGUUGAUUGUUUCUUUGUGUGUAAUUUUAUUGCUAUGUUUUAAUUCCAAUGUAUCAAUUAUUAUUAUCGGGAAUGUUUUCAUUAUACUAUUCAGUUUUUAAGAAGAGAGAUGAGUAUUAGUUGAUUGAGCACUCUUAUUUAUUGGGUUUAUUUAUAAUGAUUAUCCUCUAAUUUGAGGAAUGAUUAAUCAAUCUAAAUCAUGCAAGGGAAAAAUACCAACAAAUUUAUUUAUGCAAAUGCAUGUCAGAAAGAAAUGGUAUUUUGAUGAUAUAUGGACUCAUGCAUGUCAUGGUUAAAUUCUGGCUAGCUUGUUAUUUGGGAGCUUAGUACUCAUAAUUAUUUGUGGGUUUUAUGCCUGUGCUUGUUUUGUGGCUCUUGUCGCCCUUGUUUCGUGGCUUCUGGAUGCGCUUAGUUAUUUACCCUCAUGGACUAUGUGUCCACGCUUGUUAGUUAUUUAACUUCGUGGAAUGUGUUUUCACUUUUGUUGGUUAUUUACCCUCGUGGACUGUGUCUACGCUUGUUUAGUUAUUUACUUUUGUAGAUCGUGUGUCCACGCUUAUUAUUUGUUCAAAUCAAGUCCUGCUAAAUAAUAUGUUUUGAAAUUUAUUGCCUUUAAAUUGAUUUUGUGAAAUAGGCAGUUCUCUUUCAUCAUGUAUGGAUUUCCUAU
This is an RNA transcript of Prosopis cineraria, 2455 nucleotides long. RefSeq lists it as uncharacterized. Lineage: Eukaryota; Viridiplantae; Streptophyta; Magnoliopsida; Fabales; Fabaceae. The transcript is spliced from 2 exons. The record is from RefSeq and is a predicted model, not a curated record.